This 250-nucleotide ribosomal RNA is filed under the name uncultured bacterium. RNAcentral describes it as "partial 16S ribosomal RNA". It matches the Rfam family "Bacterial small subunit ribosomal RNA", at positions 779 to 1027 of the family's 1533-position model. The record is from RNAcentral.
UAGAUACCCUGGUAGUCCACGCCGUAAACGAUGGAUACUUGUUGUUAGAGGUAUUGACCCCUCUAGUGACGGAGCUAACGCGUUAAGUAUCCCGCCUGGGGAGUACGGUCGCAAGAUUAAAACUCAAAGAAAUUGACGGGGGCCCGCACAAGCGGUGGAGCAUGUGGUUUAAUUCGAUGCAACGCGAAGAACCUUACCUGGCUUGACAUGAACUGGAAGAAUGGCAGAGAUGCCUUCGCCCGCAAGGGUC